This 782-nucleotide ribosomal RNA is filed under the name uncultured archaeon. RNAcentral describes it as "bacterial SSU rRNA". It matches the Rfam family "Archaeal small subunit ribosomal RNA", at positions 111 to 879 of the family's 1478-position model. The record is from RNAcentral.
CCCCUUUGGGGUUGGAGAACCCCCGGGAACUGGGGCUAAUCCCCAAUAGAUAUGGAGGCCUGGAAUGGUUCCAUAUUCAAAUGCAUAACAACCAUGUUUGUUAUGUGCCAAAGGAUGGGGCUGCGGCUGAUCAGGCAGUUGGUGAGGUAACGGCUCACCAAACCUUUGACCAGUACGGGCCGUGAAAGCGGUAGCCCGGAGAUGGGUACUGAGACAAGGACCCAGGCCCUACGGGGCGCAGCAGGCGCGAAAACUCCACAAUGUACGCAAGUACGAUGGGGUUACCUUGAGUGCAGUCUGAAAAAGGUUGCUUUUCCAUAGAGUAAUAUCCUAUGGGAAUAAGAGGGGGGCAAGACUGGUGUCAGCCGCCGCGGUAACACCAGCCCCUCGAGUGGUGGGGACUUUUAUUUGGCCUAAAGCGUCCGUAGCUGGCUGUUUCCGUCCCCCGUUAAAUCCAGCGUCUCAAGCGUUGGACUGCGGGUGAUACCAAACAGCUAGAGGGUGGGAGAGGUCAGCGGUAUUACUGGGGUAGGGGCGAAAUCCUUUGAUCCCAGGAGGACCACCAGUGGCGAAGGCUGCUGACUAGAACACGCCUGACGGUCAGGGACGAAAGCUGGGGCAGCGAACCGGAUUAGAUACCCGGGUAGUCCCAGCUGUAAACGAUGCUCGCUAGGUGUUGGGUCGGCCAUGCGCCGCCCCAGUGCCGCAGGGAAGCCGUUAAGCGAGCCGCCUGGGGAGUACGGCCGCAAGGCUGAAACUUAAAGGAAUUGGCGGGGGAGCAC